This 497-nucleotide ribosomal RNA is filed under the name uncultured bacterium. RNAcentral describes it as "partial 16S ribosomal RNA". It matches the Rfam family "Bacterial small subunit ribosomal RNA", at positions 28 to 507 of the family's 1533-position model. The record is from RNAcentral.
GAUGAACGCUGGCGGCGUGCCUAAUACAUGCAAGUCGAGCGAACGGAUGAGAAGCUUGCUUCUCUGACGUUAGCGGCGGACGGGUGAGUAACACGUGGAUAACCUACAUAUAAGACUGGGAUAACUUCGGGAAACCGAAGCUAAUACCGGAUAAUAUUUUGAACCGCAUGGUUCAAUAGUGAAAGACGGUCUUGCUGUCACUUAUAGAUGGAUCCGCGCUGCAUUAGCUAGUUGGUAAGGUAACGGCUUACCAAGGCAACGAUGCAUAGCCGACCUGAGAGGGUGAUCGGCCACACUGCAACUGAGACACGGUCCAGACACCUACGGGAGGCAGCAGUAGGGAAUCUUGCGCAAUGGGCGAAAGCCUGACGGAGCAACGCCGCGUGAGUGAUGAAGGUCUUCGGAUCGUAAAACUCUGUUAUUAGGGAAGAACAAAUGUGUAAGUAACUCUGCACAUCUUGACGUUACCUAAUCAGAAAGCCACGGCUAGCUACGUG